Molecule: long non-coding RNA, 1172 nt
Filed under: Paramuricea clavata
Lineage: Eukaryota; Metazoa; Cnidaria; Anthozoa; Malacalcyonacea; Plexauridae
Source: RNAcentral
CAAACAUUUUUGCUUGUAUACUUCGUCGAAAACUGUGUUAAAUUUGCACAAAAACAACGAGAAAAUAACGAUUUUUUAAACCAAUUUGGAUGAUCGAUCGGCAAUUAAAGGUACGUUAUUACUUAGUUAUUUUAGCUAACCGGUUGUUAUUUCUAGAACAUCGCAUGUAUCGAAUAAAACCUAUUUGUUUGAUGGGGUUUAUAACAUGGUCUUUCAAGUCACACGUGGUAUUUUUGUCAAUUUUCAUCUAUACUUUGAUUUUUGGCGUGUUUAUUUGACUGACUUGAGCUUAUACCAUUGACGCAAAAUGAGACAGCUGAGUCAAAACCAAGUAAUAUAUAUUUAUUCAGUGUGUUGCUGAUCAUUUCACCUUUUACUGUGCUCUACCUUAUUGUCAAUCUCUUAAUAUAUAUGAUAUAAAUACUAUCUUGGAUUAUUACCAGUACUAUCUGUAUUAUAUUCCUCAAUUGUUGAUUUAAUACCACUUUCUCCUGCUUGCGAAAGUUAAAGGGUUUAUGUUUCUGAUUGAGUCAAUAUGUACUUUUAUUCUACAAUUUAUCAUAAGUUCAUAUGUCAUAUAUUUUAUGCUAUAAACAGCUUAGUCCAUGUCACAAAUCAAACUAACUUUUAUUUUAUUUAGGACGGUCAGGAACUAUGUAUGCAAAACUCAAUGUGCAAACUGGAAUGAGGAUCAAAUCUGUCUUGCCACCUCUGCAGUUGAGAAGAACUGUCGAUACGAAAGCUUCAAAUGCCUACAGGGAUUAAAUCGCCGAGUCAAUGGUAGGCUAAAAAAUUUAUCUUUUUGUGGUGAACGUUGGUCAAAGUCAUGCCUGGUGAGGAUUGGAUGACUUGUUCACAAUGCAAACAAUGGUGUCACGAAGAACGCUGUACUGUUACCGCAGCCAAUGUGACCUGUGUGUGUGUGUGACAUUGAACUUAAAAAUGAUUUGAAACAUGUAUUUUAUAAUUAGUUCUAAAGUUCUAUUAAAAUAAGUAUAAUUAUAUUGACUUUAUUUUUAAUUUUUAGCCCUGUCUCAUUUUGCCUCACUGUGCCGGGGCAAGAUGAGACAAUUACCACUGCUAGGUUUUCCUCGAUUUAUCGCAAAUAAAUUAUUUCAAACAUUUUUUUUUGCUUUACAUAUCUUGCUGUGAGUCAACCUCACAUACCCAAG